RNAcentral lists this ribosomal RNA (219 nucleotides) under Clostridium saudiense. Its description in RNAcentral is "partial 23S ribosomal RNA". It matches the Rfam family "Bacterial large subunit ribosomal RNA", at positions 477 to 696 of the family's 2925-position model. Lineage: Bacteria; Bacillati; Bacillota; Clostridia; Eubacteriales; Clostridiaceae. The record is from RNAcentral.
CUGAUGACCGAUAGUGAAGCAGUACCGUGAGGGAAAGGUGAAAAGAACCCCGGGAGGGGAGUGAAAUAGAACCUGAAACCGUGUGCCUACAACCGGUCAAAGCCCCAUAUGAGGGUGAUGACGUGCUUUUUGUAGAACGAGCCAACGAGUUACGGUAUGUAGCAAGGUUAAGUACUUAAGGUACGGAGCCGAAGGGAAACCGAGUCUUAAUAGGGCGAC